CCCACGACCCAGUUUCCAGCAUAGCAGUCAAGUGGUCAGUCGGUCCUCCUCAGUGGAAUCUGUUCCUUAUAGAGAGGCUGGCUUUGGUAGCUUGGGACAAGGAGGCAGAGGUCUGCAGGGAAGGAGAACUCCCAGAGACUCUUAUAAUGAAACCCCUUCACCGGCUUCAACUCACAGCCUAUCUUAUAGACCUUCAUCUGCCUCCUCUGGACAGGGGAUUUUUUCUUUCAGACCAUCCCCAAAUGGGCAUUCAGGCCACACAAGAGUCCUUACCCCUAACAAUUUGGCUCAGAGGGAGAGCAGAACUACACUAGAGAGUCUU
RNAcentral lists this small RNA (322 nucleotides) under Pongo abelii (Sumatran orangutan). RNAcentral describes it as "processed transcript". Lineage: Eukaryota; Metazoa; Chordata; Mammalia; Primates; Hominidae. The record is from RNAcentral.